CCCUAGCCCUGAUUGAAGCGGCAUCCUCUUGUUUCUCGUUUUUAUGAGAUAACAAGAGAUACAGCGGAAAGCGGGAAAUAGC
RNAcentral lists this small RNA (82 nucleotides) under Flavobacterium frigoris. RNAcentral's name for it is "Flavo-1 RNA". It matches the Rfam family "Flavo-1 RNA". Lineage: Bacteria; Pseudomonadati; Bacteroidota; Flavobacteriia; Flavobacteriales; Flavobacteriaceae. The record is from RNAcentral.